GACGAACGCUGGCGGCGUGCUUAACACAUGCAAGUCGAACGGAAAGGCCUGCAGCUUGCUGCGGGUACUCGAGUGGCGAACGGGUGAGUAACACGUGGGUGAUCUGCCUUGCACUUCGGGAUAAGCUUGGGAAACUGGGUCUAAUACCGGAUAGGACAGCUGUUUAGUGUCAGUUGUGGAAAGUUUUUUCGGUGCAAGAUGAGCUCGCGGCCUAUCAGCUUGUUGGUGGGGUAAUGGCCUACCAAGGCGUCGACGGGUAGCCGGCCUGAGAGGGUGUACGGCCACAUUGGGACUGAGAUACGGCCCAGACUCCUACGGGAGGCAGCAGUGGGGAAUAUUGCACAAUGGGCGGAAGCCUGAUGCAGCGACGCCGCGUGGGGGAUGAAGGCCUUCGGGUUGUAAACUCCUUUCGACAGGGACGAAGCGUAAGUGACGGUACCUGUAUAAGAAGCACCGGCUAACUACGUGCCAGCAGCCGCGGUAAUACGUAGGGUGCGAGCGUUGUCCGGAUUUACUGGGCGUAAAGAGCUCGUAGGUGGUUUGUCGCGUCGUCUGUGAAAUUCCGGGGCUUAACUCCGGGCGUGCAGGCGAUACGGGCUGACUUGAGUGCUGUAGGGGAGACUGGAAUUCCUGGUGUAGCGGUGAAAUGCGCAGAUAUCAGGAGGAACACCGAUGGCGAAGGCAGGUCUCUGGGCAGUAACUGACGCUGAGGAGCGAAAGCAUGGGUAGCGAACAGGAUUAGAUACCCUGGUAGUCCAUGCCGUAAACGGUGGGCGCUAGGUGUAGGGGGCUUCCACGUCUUCUGUGCCGUAGCUAACGCAUUAAGCGCCCCGCCUGGGGAGUACGGCCGCAAG
This 854-nucleotide ribosomal RNA is filed under the name uncultured Actinomycetes bacterium. RNAcentral describes it as "bacterial SSU rRNA". It matches the Rfam family "Bacterial small subunit ribosomal RNA", at positions 28 to 892 of the family's 1533-position model. Lineage: Bacteria; Bacillati; Actinomycetota; Actinomycetes. The record is from RNAcentral.